GGGCAACGUUACAUUUUUUGGUUUUCCUGAUGAAAUGGUUACGUGAGAGGCCAGCGUUGGGGGAAGUCGGGUCGGGGUAGAGGGGCUCGGUGCAGCUGCUGGAACUUCUUGGUAAGUCUGAAACGAGUUCCAAAUAGAAGGUUUGAAAACUCUAUAUCAAGUCGCGCCCAGUGGCAGGCUCUGUUCCAGACACUGAGGACAUUGCAGUAACCACAACAGACACCGUCCUUGUCCUCAUGGAGCUUCUAUUCCAGGGAGAAGGGACAAACAGGAAACAGGUCAACAAAAAGCAUAAUGUCACACAGUGAUUGUGCUGGGAAGAAAGUAAAAUAAACUGGGGAGACGUGGCGAGAGUGGCAGGCGAGGGGCUCCUUUAGCUGGUUGGCCAGGGAAGAACUCUCUGAGGAGGCGACCUCUGAGCAAAGAUCAGAAUGACGAGCAUAGCAUCUGGCAGUGUGACAUCCGGAGGAAAAACUUACCCCAGGGAGAGAGGCCUCGUGCAAAGGCCCUGAGGCAGAAAUGGGGUUGGCCUGGUGUCGCUGGAGGAGACAGGAGCUAGGAGAGGAUGGCAACCCACAGGGCGUGUGGGUCAGCGAGGCGGACUGGAUGCCGGAAUGGUCCUGUGUCUUGGCUGCGGUGGUGGUGACCCCAACCUGCACGUGGGACAAACGGCACAGAAGUCUUCACACACGCUGUCCCAACGUCCGUCUCCUGGGCUUGCCAUUGUGUUACAGUUACGCAAGAUGGAACCACUGGGGGAAAGUGGGCCAAGCGACAAGGAGCCUUUCUGUACGACCUUCGAAACUUCCUGUGAAUUUAUAAUUAUUUCAAAAUAGAAAGUAAAAAUAAAUGACUAUGGGCCAAACAAACACGGUGGAGUUGGGGGAGGUUGGGUCCCUGAGCGGACAGUGCGCGAGCUCCGGCUUCGAGGAACAGGACCUUUCUUGACCCUCUGCCGAUAGCACCUUGGUUGUAUUGCCCUGGCUGCGAGGCCAGGUAACUAGGUCAGAGAGAAGGUGGACAUGUCAUCGUUGGCAUCAUAAAGAGCACAC
This 1052-nucleotide long non-coding RNA is filed under the name Equus caballus (horse). RNAcentral describes it as "lncRNA (ENSECAG00000052381.1)". Lineage: Eukaryota; Metazoa; Chordata; Mammalia; Perissodactyla; Equidae. The record is from RNAcentral.